Long non-coding RNA from Strigops habroptila (Kakapo), 1298 nucleotides. RefSeq lists it as uncharacterized. The record is from RefSeq and is a predicted model, not a curated record. The transcript has 4 exons. NCBI's taxonomy places the organism in Eukaryota, Metazoa, Chordata, Aves, Psittaciformes, Psittacidae.
UGUGAAGCAGGUCCCAGCUAGAUGGACUCUGGACUUGCUAGCAUUGGAAUGGUAGAGUGCAGGCUGUUCGAAAGCUGCUCUUGGAUCAAUGAAGACCAACUGGGAUGGCUAUGCUCCUGCGCAGUGAGAGUGACGUGUCACUUCUGGGCUCACUCCCUCCAAAUGGUCCAUUUCUGUCUCAAAAUAAGGUGCCCAAAAGCAGAACACCAAACAUGAUGAAAAUCAGCCCUUUACAGUGAGAACCUGAGAUACUCUUGCUUGAACAAGAUGGUGGGGAUCCUCACCCAGCUGAGGGUGCUGAUAUUAAACCUUCAAGGCAUUGUGGCCUUAGCUCUUGAGAACAGUGUCUCUCAUUCAAGUCGUGAAGGAGUUUUCUCUCAGAUGUGUUUUCUGGUUUUAAAUUGGCUGGCAAGGUUUUCCCCUCUCUUUACAUAGCUGUUAUUUUCUAGCUUCGGCAGUGAAGGUACCUUAAACUUGUGUGAGUUAGUGCUUCUGAAACAGCCUAGGCUGUUCAGUUUCACAGGAUUUAAGACUGACUUAAUGUUUGUGUCCUGAAUGUGCUAGGUUUUGCCUGAAGAAUACUUCAAGCUGAAGCUGAAAUUGUUGGCCUUAUUCUCCCUUUGUAUAAGAUGUUUAAGUUGAGAGUUGUGUAUGGUAUAACAACCUUUUCUUGUCUGCAAUUGUAAUAGUUUGGGACCUACCCUCAUCACAGUUUCGAGUGGCACCACUUUGAAGUGUUUUGGAGCUUCCUGUUUUGGAGAGAAUGGAGGAAGUGCAGAUAAGACAACCUGAAGAGCAUGGCUGUGGAAAAUACCAGUGCCUCUAACUGAGGACCUGAAAACGCUCAGCAGCAACAAUACCAAAGCAGAGGAAAAAAAGCCGCUUUCUGGAGAUCACCAGCUUGGAGAGAACAGAGGAAGAUCCACUUGCCAGUGGUUUCAAUGUCCUUGCUUAAGACCUCUCUGCCAGGGUACCUGGCUGAAGGGUCAUAAAUUUGCACUGUGAUGAGACACAACCAGAUGUUAGGAUACGUGAAGCGACUGGCGAAGCAGCCUGCCUGGCGCAGCCCCCACCUCCGGAGUCAGCCGCCCGCUAAUGAGAAGCAGGUCUCUCGCCUUGAGCUGGGCCAGGACAGACGGAGAGCAUCCCCAGGAGCAACUACAGAGCUGCCAUCUUGACCCCCUUCCUGCUCUUGGUGCCCGGAGAGCAUCUCCAGGGCUGGAUUUGGGCACUUUGGUGGCUAUUGACUUCUGGCAGCCAUCUGGAAAGAUAGUUUGGGCCGGUACAGGGGGGGAACA